AGCGAACGCUGGCGGCAGGCCUAACACAUGCAAGUCGAACGGAUCCUUCGGGAUUAGUGGCGGACGGGUGAGUAACACGUGGGAACGUGCCCUUUGGUUCGGAACAACUCAGGGAAACUUGAGCUAAUACCGGAUGUGCCCUUCGGGGGAAAGAUUUAUCGCCAUUGGAGCGGCCCGCGUCUGAUUAGCUAGUUGGUGAGGUAACGGCCCACCAAGGCGACGAUCAGUAGCUGGUCUGAGAGGAUGAUCAGCCACACUGGGACUGAGACACGGCCCAGACUCCUACGGGAGGCAGCAGUGAGGAAUCUUGCGCAAUGGGCGAAAGCCUGACGCAGCCAUGCCGCGUGAAUGAUGAAGGUCUUAGGAUUGUAAAAUUCUUUCAGCGGGGACGAUAAUGACGGUACCCGCAGAAGAAGCUCCGGCUAACUUCGUG
This 433-nucleotide ribosomal RNA is filed under the name uncultured bacterium. RNAcentral's name for it is "partial 16S ribosomal RNA". It matches the Rfam family "Bacterial small subunit ribosomal RNA", at positions 29 to 507 of the family's 1533-position model. The record is from RNAcentral.